AUAGCUGAGGAAAAGGAAACCAACCGGGAUUGCCUUAGUAACGGCGAGUGAAGCGGCAAAAGCUCAAAUUUGAAAUCUAGUACCUUCGGUGCUCGAGUUGUAAUUUGUAGAGGGAUACUUUGGGGCCGUCUCUUAUCUAUGUUCCUUGGAACAGGACGUCAUAGAGGGUGAGAAUCCCGUAUGAUGAGAGUCGCGGUUCUUUGUAAAGUUCCUUCGAAGAGUCGAGUUGUUUGGGAAUGCAGCUCUAAGUGGGUGGUAAAUUCCAUCUAAAGCUAAAUAUUGGCGAGAGACCGAUAGCGAACAAGUACAGUGAUGGAAAGAUGAAAAGAACUUUGAAAAGAGAGUGAAAAAGUACGUGAAAUUGUUGAAAGGGAAGGGCAUUUGAUCAGACAUGGUGUUUUGCGCCCUCUGCUCCUUGUGGGUGGGGGAAUCUCGCAGCUCACUGGGCCAGCAUCAGUUUUGGCGGUAGGAUAAAUCCAUAGGAAUGUGGCUUGCUUCGGUAAGUGUUAUAGCCUGUGGGAAUACUGCCAGCCGGGACUGAGGACUGCGACAUUCGUCAAGGAUGCUGGCAUAAUGGUUAUAUGCCGCCCGUCUUAA
This 597-nucleotide ribosomal RNA is filed under the name Jamesozyma hellenica. RNAcentral describes it as "eukaryotic LSU rRNA". It matches the Rfam family "Eukaryotic large subunit ribosomal RNA", at positions 47 to 657 of the family's 3401-position model. The record is from RNAcentral. Lineage: Eukaryota; Fungi; Ascomycota; Saccharomycetes; Saccharomycetales; Saccharomycetaceae.